UACGUAGGAGGCAAGCGUUGUCCGGAAUUACUGGGUGUAAAGCGCGUGUAGGCGGCAGGCCAAGUCUGUGGUGAAAUCGCCCGGCUCAACUGGGCGGGGUCCAUGGAAACUGGUCAGCUGGAGGACGGUAGAGGUGAGUGGAAUUCCCGGUGUAGUGGUGAAAUGCGUAGAGAUCGGGAGGAACACCCGUGGCGAAGGCGGCUCACUGGGCCGGUCCUGACGCUGAGACGCGAAGGCGUGGGGAGCGAACGGGAUUAGAUACCCCGGUAGUCCACGCAGUAAACGAUGCAUACUAGGUGUGGGGGGUAUCGAGCCCCUCCGUGCCGCAGCUAACGCAGUAAGUAUGCCACCUGGGGAGUACGGCCGCAAGGUUAAA
RNAcentral lists this ribosomal RNA (376 nucleotides) under uncultured bacterium. Its description in RNAcentral is "bacterial SSU rRNA". It matches the Rfam family "Bacterial small subunit ribosomal RNA", at positions 524 to 898 of the family's 1533-position model. The record is from RNAcentral.